This 737-nucleotide ribosomal RNA is filed under the name Clostridium sp. RNAcentral describes it as "bacterial SSU rRNA". It matches the Rfam family "Bacterial small subunit ribosomal RNA", at positions 1 to 758 of the family's 1533-position model. The record is from RNAcentral. Lineage: Bacteria; Bacillati; Bacillota; Clostridia; Eubacteriales; Clostridiaceae.
AGCUUAUAGUUUUGAUUCCGGCUCAGGACGAACGCUGGCGGCGUGCCUAUCACAUGCAAGUCGAGCGAUGAAAUUCCUUCGGGAAUGGAUUAGCGGCGGACGGGUGAGUAACACGUGGGUAACCUGCCUCAAAGAGGGGGAUAGCCUCCCGAAAGGGAGAUUAAUACCGCAUAACAUUAGUUUUUCGCAUGAAGAACUAAUUAAAGGAGCAAUCCGCUUUGAGAUGGACCCGCGGCGCAUUAGCUAGUUGGUGAGGUAACGGCUCACCAAGGCGACGAUGCGUAGCCGACCUGAGAGGGUGAUCGGCCACAUUGGAACUGAGACACGGUCCAGACUCCUACGGGAGGCAGCAGUGGGGAAUAUUGCACAAUGGGCGAAAGCCUGAUGCAGCAACGCCGCGUGAGUGAUGAAGGCCUUCGGGUUGUAAAGCUCUGUCUUUGGGGACGAUAAUGACGGUACCCAAGGAGGAAGCCACGGCUAACUACGUGCCAGCAGCCGCGGUAAUACGUAGGUGGCGAGCGUUGUCCGGAUUUACUGGGCGUAAAGGAUGCGUAGGCGGAUAUUUAAGUGAGAUGUGAAAUACCCGGGCUUAACUUGGGUGCUGCAUUUCAAACUGGAUAUCUAGAGUGCGGGAGAGGAGAAUGGAAUUCCUAGUGUAGCGGUGAAAUGCGUAGAGAUUAGGAAGAACACCAGUGGCGAAGGCGAUUCUCUGGACCGUAACUGACGCUGAGCAGAAA